UUUAUUUUUAUUUUCACUUUAGCAAUCCUUCCUAUGAAGUCAUUUUUUUGGUUAUUUUCUUCAUAAAUACAAAACUUAGGACCAAACUACCCUUCCGUCCCAGGUCACUUUUCACAAAGAUCGAAAUCGUAAGCCCUAGAAGAAGAUAGAGAGAGGGUGAUGGGGAUAUUCAAGGGCAGUUUCUCAUUCAUGGUAGGAACCGCAUGUGGAAUUUACAUAGCUCAGAAUUACAACGUCCCCAAUAUAAAGAAACUCGCGAACACUGCUAUUUUCAUGGCCAGGCACCUCGAAGAGAAGUAUCGCAAGCCUAAGAAGAGAGAUGACGAGUAAUAGAAUAAACCACAUCGUUGCAGUCCAGGUGCACGCCUAGUGAAGUGCCUUGUGCCAAGAUGUGGAGGGCAACUCCUCUUUGCCUUUUUUGGAUAAUUUGACAAGAAUGAAAUCGAAGAUCUCUUGAUAGAAUUCAAUGUUUAGAUCAAGCUCUAAAGAAUUCCCUUAUCUGUACCUUUUUCCAAUGGACUCACCAAUAUAUUCAAGUGGCCCUGUUAUAUUUUAUUGAUUGGUUGAGUGCUAGAUAGGAUGAGAGAGUGUCAUUCAAUGCAUGUUUACAGUUGAGUGCUAGAUUGGUUGAGUUCAAUUUAUACUUUCAUUGAGUAAGAUACAUCCUUUAAGUGUU
Molecule: long non-coding RNA, 676 nt
Organism: Vitis vinifera (wine grape)
Lineage: Eukaryota; Viridiplantae; Streptophyta; Magnoliopsida; Vitales; Vitaceae
Exons: 2
Source: RefSeq, a predicted model, not a curated record